UGUCACUCACUGGGAGGAGGUACUGGAUCUGGUAUGGGAACACUAUUGAUAUCGAAGAUCAGGGAAGAGUAUCCUGAUCGGAUGAUGUUGACUUUUUCGGUCUUUCCUUCUCCGAAAGUCUCGGAUACGGUGGUGGAACCUUACAAUGCCACCCUCUCCGUCCACCAACUGGUCGAGAAUGCUGAUGAAUGUAUGGUGCUUGACAAUGAAGCUCUGUAUGAUAUCUGUUUCCGUACACUCAAGCUCACUAAUCCCAGCUGUAAGUGCUUUUUCUUUAUGUAAUUAAUUCUUUUUAAUGUCUUGCCAGUAGCUAAAGACAAAUAAUAUUAUGGACCAUGACGAAUAAUUCAAUCAGGAGAAAAAAAAUUAUAUGAUCAUGUUGAGAACCAAUACCUUGGUAAAGGAAGAUCCAAAAUGGAUGUUAUGCUAUUUUCUAACACUCUCUUUACUCAAAAUUUGAGAUUUCCGUCAAAUCAGAUACCGAAGACCGUUGAAAUUUUGAGGUCCUUUUAGGUUGGGCUCUAAACCACUGCUUAGUUGGCUUCACUGUUGAGCCGGCCCUGUGAUCCUAUAUUGAGGAUUCCUGUGAUCCUAUAUUGAGAAUCAAUCCACCUAAAAAUUUUAAGAUGUUAGAAUAAGAUUCCAAAUAGAUCUUAUGCUAUAUAUAAUUGAACAUAUUCAAAUUGGGUAGUGAUCAAAUACACCUUUGGAUCUGUCUAAUUGAAUUAUUUUUGUGAUUUCGAAUUUUUAUGUGAAUGCAGUCGGUGAUUUGAACCACUUGAUCUCCACAACCAUGAGCGGUGUAACAUGCUGCCUCCGUUUCCCGGGACAACUCAACUCCGAUCUCCGAAAACUAGCCGUAAAUCUGAUCCCCUUCCCUCGCCUCCACUUUUUCAUGGUCGGUUUCGCGCCUCUAACUUCCCGCGGCUCUCAACAAUACCGUUCCCUCACAAUCCCCGAACUCACUCAACAAAUGUGGGACUCCAAGAACAUGAUGUGCGCCGCUGACCCGCGCCACGGCCGUUACCUCACAGCCUCGGCCAUGUUCCGCGGCAAAAUGAGUACUAAAGAAGUCGACGAACAAAUGAUCAAUGUCCAGAACAAAAACUCCUCGUACUUUGUCGAGUGGAUUCCCAACAAUGUCAAGUCAAGUGUCUGUGACAUUCCUCCCACGGGCCUGGCCAUGUCUUCGACUUUCAUGGGGAAUUCGACGUCGAUUCAGGAGAUGUUUAGGCGUGUUUCGGAGCAGUUCACUGUGAUGUUCAGGAGGAAAGCGUUUCUGCAUUGGUACACAGGGGAGGGAAUGGAUGAGAUGGAGUUCACUGAGGCCGAAAGCAACAUGAAUGACUUGGUUUCGGAGUAUCAGCAGUAUCAGGAGGCUGUGGCGGAUGAUGAUCAGGAAGAUGAGUAUGAUGAUGAAGAGGGGAUGGAGAAUUGAGAUUGGAGAAAUGUGAAGCACAGUGAUCAGAUUAACUUAUAUGUGGCGAGUACAUAUUGGUGUGGUUUGAUGAAUUGAUUCAGGUUAUGAGGUGGUGAA
RNAcentral lists this long non-coding RNA (1537 nucleotides) under Daucus carota (carrot). Its description in RNAcentral is "long non-coding RNA (DCAR_LNC001595)". The record is from RNAcentral. Lineage: Eukaryota; Viridiplantae; Streptophyta; Magnoliopsida; Apiales; Apiaceae.